ACUUAACUUACCUACUGACACAAACAGAUCAUGCAUCUUCCACAUUACUUAGCUACUAGCACAAACAAUUCGUGCAUCUUCCUACUUCUUCUUCUUCUUGUCCUUCUUCUCCUUGUGCUCGCCGCCGUCGCCGUGGUCGCCGGUGAUCUUGUCCUUGAUCUUCUCCACCACGCCUUCCUUGUGCUCCCCGUCCUUCUUGUGGUGCUCCCCCUCCUUCUUGUGCUCGUCUUCCUUCUUGUGCUCGCCUCCGCCCAUGUGGAGCUUCUCCUCGAUCUUGUGGAUGAUGCCGGCCAUGGUUGGCGCCUCUCUCUCUCUCUACGGUCUCAAGAGAAAUUUGAUGGAUCGGAAUGGAUUGCUA
This 358-nucleotide unclassified non-coding RNA is filed under the name Hevea brasiliensis (rubber tree). Lineage: Eukaryota; Viridiplantae; Streptophyta; Magnoliopsida; Malpighiales; Euphorbiaceae. The record is from RNAcentral.